Molecule: ribosomal RNA, 344 nt
Filed under: uncultured Lachnospiraceae bacterium
Lineage: Bacteria; Bacillati; Bacillota; Clostridia; Lachnospirales; Lachnospiraceae
Description: partial 16S ribosomal RNA
Source: RNAcentral
GGAGUUUGGGCCGUGUCUCAGUCCCAAUGUGGCCGGUCGCCCUCUCAGGCCGGCUACUGAUCGUCGCUUUGGUAGGCCGUUACCCUGCCAACUGGCUAAUCAGACGCGGGGCCAUCCCAUUCCACCUCAGUUUUUCACACUGGAGGAUGUCCUCCCGUGCGCUUAUGCGGUAUUAACAGUCGUUUCCAACUGGUAUCCCCCGGAAUGGGGCAGGUUCCCCACGCGUUACUCACCCGUCCGCCACUAAGUGAUUCAAAUGAGUCAAUCUGGUGCAAGCACCUUCAAUCCUCGGGAGAACCACUCCGUUCGACUUGCAUGUGUUAAGCACGCCGCCAGCGUUUAUC